CUUUAGUGGCGAACGGGUGAGUAACGCGUAAGCAAUCUGCCCCUAAGACGAGGAUAACAGUUGGAAACGACUGCUAAGACUGGAUAGGAGACAAGAAGGCAUCUUCUUAUUUUUAAAAGACCUAGCAAUAGGUAUGCUUAGGGAGGAGCUUGCGUCACAUUAGUUAGUUGGUGGGGUAAAGGCCUACCAAGACUAUGAUGUGUAGCCGGGCUGAGAGGUUGAACGGCCACAUUGGGACUGAGACACGGCCCAAACUCCUACGGGAGGCAGCAGUAGGGAAUUUUCGGCAAUGGAGGAAACUCUGACCGAGCAACGCCGCGUGAACGAUGAAGUAUUUCGGUAUGUAAAGUUCUUUUAUUAGGGAAGAAUAAAUGAUGGAAAAAUCAUUCUGACUGUACCUAAUGAAUAAGCCCCGGCUAACUAUGUGCCAGCAGCCGCGGUAAUACAUAGGGGGCAAGCGUUAUCCGGAAUUAUUGGGCGUAAAGGGUGCGUAGGCGGUUAAAUAAGUUUAUGGUCUAAGUGCAAUGCUCAACAUUGUGAUGCUAUAAAAACUGUUUAGCUAGAGUAAGAUAGAGGCAAGUGGAAUUCCAUGUGUAGUGGUAAAAUGCGUAAAUAUAUGGAGGAACACCAGUAGCGAAGGCGGCUUGCUGGGUCUUUACUGACGCUGAGGCACGAAAGCGUGGGGAGCAAACAGGAUUAGAUACCCUGGUAGUCCACGCCGUAAACGAUGAGUACUAAACGUUGGGUAAAACCAGUGUUGAAGUUAACACAUUAAGUACUCCGCCUGAGUAGUACGUACGCAAGUAUGAAACUUAAAGGAAUUGACGGGACUCCGCACAAGCGGUGGAUCAUGUUGUUUAAUUCGAAGGUACCCGAAAAACCUCACCAGGUCUUGACAUGCUUCUGCAAAGUUGUAGAAAUACAGUGGAGGUUAUCAGUUGCACAGGUGGUGCAUGGUUGUCGUCAGCUCGUGUCGUGAGAUGUUGGGUUAAGUCCCGCAACGAGCGCAACCCUUAUUGUUAGUUACCAGCACGUAAUGGUGGGGACUUUAGCAAGACUGCCAGUGAUAAAUUGGAGGAAGGUGGGGACGACGUCAAAUCAUCAUGCCCCUUAUGACCUGGGCUACAAACGUGAUACAAUGGCUGUUACAAAGGGUAGCUGAAACGCAAGUUUUUGGCGAAUCUCAAAAAAACAGUCUCAGUUCGGAUUGAAGUCUGCAACUCGACUUCAUGAAGUUGGAAUCGCUAGUAAUCGCGAAUCAGCAUGUCGCGGUGAAUACGUUCUCGGGGUUUGUACACACCGCCCGUCAAACCACGAAAGUUGGCAAUACCCAAAGCCGGUGGCCUAACUUUGCAAGAAGAGGGAACCGUCUAAGGUAGGGUCGAUGAUUGGGGUUAAGUCGUAACAAGGUAUCCCUACCGGAAGGUGGGGAUGGAUCACCUCCUUU
Molecule: ribosomal RNA, 1447 nt
Filed under: Candidatus Phytoplasma asteris
Lineage: Bacteria; Bacillati; Mycoplasmatota; Mollicutes; Acholeplasmatales; Acholeplasmataceae
Description: bacterial SSU rRNA
Rfam family: Bacterial small subunit ribosomal RNA
Source: RNAcentral